UCCCAAAAACACACAGUUUUGGUCCUAAACUUGCCAUUGUUUUUUAUCAAAAUUAUACAUGCAAGCCUCCACACACCAGUGAGAAUGCCCACAAAUUCCCAAAAAGAAAACCGGAGCGGGCAUCAGGAUUCAGCACCAAGAGCCAAAGACGCCUUGCUAUAGCCACACCCACAAGGGCCUUCAGCAGUAAUUAACAUUAAGCAUAUGAGCGAAAGCUAGACUUAGUUAUGAUAAUUAUGGUCGGUAAAUUUCGUGCCAGCCACCGCGGUUAUACGAAAGACCAAAAACAAUGGCCCCCGGCGUAAAGCGUGACCCUGGGUUAACAAAACAUUAGGGGGGCACAACUACCCAGUUGUAAAACACCCACGUAAACUAGAACAACAACACCUGCCCCUAAGCCACAACACCCUGCCUCACGAAAGUUAAGAAACAAACUGGGAUUAGAUACCCCACUAUGCUUAACCCUAAACACAGAUAUUUUUAUACAACAAUAUCCGCCAGAGAACUACAAGCGAAAAGCUAGAAACUCCAAGGACUUGGCGGUGCUUUAAACCAACCUAGAGGAGCCUGUCCUAUAAUCGAUACCCCACGUUUAACCUUACCCACCCUAGCCAACCAGCCUAUAUACCGCCGUCGUCAGCCUACCUUAUGAAAGAAACAAAGUAGGCAAAAUAGUCAAUAACUAACACGUCAGGUCAAGGUGUAGCAAAUGGGUGGGCAGAGAUGGGCUACAUUUUCUAACAAGAACACACGAACAACACACUGAAACCCGUGUUUGAAGGUGGAUUUAGUAGUAAAGUAGAAAAGAAAAGCUAUCUUGAAAUCUGCUCUGAAGCGCGCACACACCGCCCGUCACCCUCAUCG
RNAcentral lists this non-coding RNA (864 nucleotides) under Prasinohaema virens. Its description in RNAcentral is "partial 12S ribosomal RNA". It matches the Rfam family "Bacterial small subunit ribosomal RNA". The record is from RNAcentral. Lineage: Eukaryota; Metazoa; Chordata; Lepidosauria; Squamata; Scincidae.